Molecule: long non-coding RNA, 2639 nt
Filed under: Pan troglodytes (chimpanzee)
Lineage: Eukaryota; Metazoa; Chordata; Mammalia; Primates; Hominidae
Description: long non-coding RNA NONPTRT008178
Source: RNAcentral
GGCAAAGUCAAACGCAAGCGCCUCCCACCCCAGAGACCUUUGGUCGCAGCCUGGAGAUCAGCUCAGACAAGAAAACGACCAGGGAAGGCACACAGGUAAGUGAAGGCCUCCGGGUACCCAAGUGCUGACAGGCCUUAGAAGACCAAGGGACCGACAGGUCCUGCUCCCCCAGAGCUCAGGGGUGCAGACCCCAGGCCCGCCUCCCUCAGACCUAAGUAAGAGUCCAGACUCUAGCUGCCUCCUCCCUCAGACCCGAAGUCUGGGCCCCCAGCCCCUCCUCCCUCAGACCCAGGAGUCCACGUCCCCAGCCCCUCCUCCGCCAGACCCAAGAGUACAGGUGCUUAUUGUCUGAAGGUAUUCAAUCAACUGGGCUCUGAUUACCUGAAACCCAAACCCAUUUUGGCAGUGACUCCAAUUCCCUUCAGCCCCUGGGGCUGAGGGGCAGCUACAGGGGCCUGGGGAGCCACUGCAGUCCUCACUGCAUGAGGCUCAGGCGGGUCCUCCCAGAGGGGAGUAGGAAGAGCAGGUCUGGCUGUGUCCAGCAGGUUGGGCCCUCUCUGGUGACCUUUGACCUCACAAGGCCUCUUUCCCCAGCCCUGUGGGGAGGCGUUGGGGCGUGAGGUUGAGAGAGACAGAGUGGCCUGGCCUGGCCUGCCCUGUGAGCUGGGUGAGUUGGUACUGAUUCUGGAAGAUGGACGUGAAUGGGCGUGGUCACUUGUCGCUAGACUCUGGGAAACGCUGCUGCUGUUUGACAUCGCACAGUCAGAAGGGAUCGUCUCAGCCAGCCUGCAGCAUCUGUCACUUUGACCAUGAGACGCUGCCUCGAUUUCCAAUCCAGGUGCAAAGCUUCAGAUAGGAGUUUGGGAAGCACAGCAAUCCCCAUCUCUAUUUUUUUCAACUUUCAUUCCAAGAAAUAGGACCUUGAGUCCAAUUCCCAGAGCUGACACUUGAGGUCCAACUCUGCCCUCACCUGCACCCGGCCCUGGAGGUCUGGGCCCCUUUAUUCCAGCUCCCGCACAGGCUGAUGCCCCACCGCACCCCAGGGCUCCGCUCCCCAAAUCACAACCUCCCCACCCCCACGCCUCCCUCAUUACAGGGUCCCCCACCAUGUUUCCCUUUUUUUUUUUUUUUUAACCUCCCCACCAAUUACUUGCCCCACCUCAUCCGCGUCUACCUGCUCCCCCUCACCCCAUUAAAGCCUCGUGCUCCUUUCCAAAGGGCGCCAUCCUCCUCCGCGCCCUGCAGCGGAACCCCAGGGCGGGAAGAGCGGCGCCGAGUCGGACCGGCUGCAGGCCAGUGGUCUUCCCGGAAGUGCGCCUCCCCCGGUUAUUUCACAGACCCCGGCGCGGGGCUGCGAACCCACCUGCCCCAGAGCGGCUGCGGCCAUGAUCCGUGCGGCGCGUAACUGUGCCCGCCCGGGGCGCGGCCCCGAAGAGAGACGUUCCGGCCACGCCCCGCUCACGCCUCCUUCUGGGGGAAGGCGGCCGACCAGCGCCCCAGGCCGUCCCAGCUCCAGGGCGUCGGCAGGGAGCCAGACACUGCUGCGGGGCGCAGGCGCUGGUGGGAGGGCAGGACUUGAAAUACGGUCCCUGCCAGGCGAAGUGGCUCAGGUCUGUAAUCUUAGCACUUUGGGAGGCCGAAGCGGGCGGAUUACCUGAGGUCAGGAGUUAGAGACCAGCCUGGUCCAACAUGAUGAAACCCCGUCUCUACUAAAAAUACAAAAAAUUAGCCGGGCGUGGUGGCGGGCGCCUGUAAUCUUAGCUACUCGGAAAGCUGAGGCAGGAGAAUUGCUUGAAUCGGGGAGGCAGAGGUUGCAGUGAGCCGAGAUGAUGCCACUGCACUCCAGCCUGGGCGACAGAGUGAGACUCCGUCUCAAAAAAAAAAAAAAAAAAAAAAAAAAAGGCCUGGCUUGGUGGCUCACACCUGUAAUCCCAGCAUUUUGGGAGGCCGAGGCGGGCGGAUCACCUGAGGUCAAGAGUUCGAGACCAGCCUGACCAACAUGGUGAAACCCCGCCCUACUAAAAAUACAAAAAUUAGCUGGGAGUGGUGGUAGACGCCUGUAGUCCCAGCUACUCGGGAGGCUGAGGUAGAAGAAUUGCUUGAACCCGGGAGGCCGAGGUUGCGGUGAGCCGAGAUGGCGCCAUUGCACUCCAGCCUGAGCAACAAGAGCAGAACUCCGUCUCAAAGAAAAAAAAAAGAAAAGAAAAAAAAGAAAAAAGAAAUACGGUCCCCACCCAGGCUGUGUUCCAGCCACACUCAAGCCAGGUACUAAUGUGCAUGCAACGGUUUUCAAAAAAGCAUUUCCUUGGGAGCAAAAAUGCAUUUUUUGUCGCGGAUCGCUGGCAAGCAUAAGCAGCACGAGGUAAAGAAAGGGAAAGGCAAGGAGCAGGACAUUCCGUGUAUCACGUUCCCUUAGCGACGCGGACACCACGUCAAUGCACAGGAACGGGAAUGGUGCUUUGGAGAAGGGCUUCUGAAGAGGGCCGCAGGUAGGGAUAAAGGGCAGCCUCACUUUGCAGCCUGGAUACUGCCCUGUUCCAGUAUUUUUUCCUAUCAACGAAAAAGAUGUAUGUGUAGCCCAGGCUGGAGGGCAGUGGCGCGAUCUCGGCUCACUGCAACCUCCGCCUCCCGGGUUCAAG